This 248-nucleotide ribosomal RNA is filed under the name uncultured Butyricicoccus sp. RNAcentral describes it as "partial 16S ribosomal RNA". It matches the Rfam family "Bacterial small subunit ribosomal RNA", at positions 524 to 771 of the family's 1533-position model. Lineage: Bacteria; Bacillati; Bacillota; Clostridia; Eubacteriales; Butyricicoccaceae. The record is from RNAcentral.
UACGUAGGGAGCAAGCGUUAUCCGGAUUUACUGGGUGUAAAGGGCGAGUAGGCGGGCUGGCAAGUUGGGAGUGAAAUCCCGGGGCUUAACCCCGGAACUGCUUUCAAAACUGCUGGUCUUGAGUGAUGGAGAGGCAGGCGGAAUUCCGUGUGUAGCGGUGAAAUGCGUAGAUAUACGGAGGAACACCAGUGGCGAAGGCGGCCUGCUGGACAUUAACUGACGCUGAGGAGCGAAAGCGUGGGGAGCAA